GACGAACGCUGGCGGCGUGCCUAAUACAUGCCAGUAGAACGCUGAAGGAGGAGCUUGCUUCUCUGGAUGAGUUGCGAACGGGUGAGUAACGCGUAGGUAACCUGCCUGGUAGCGGGGGAUAACUAUUGGAAACGAUAGCUAAUACCGCAUAAUAGCAGUUGUUGCAUGACAACUGUUUGAAAGGUGCAAUUGCACCACUACCAGAUGGACCUGCGUUGUAUUAGCUAGUUGGUGGGGUAACGGCUCACCAAGGCGACGAUACAUGGCCGACCUGAGAGGGUGAUCGGCCACACUGGGACUGAGACACGGCCCAGACUCCUACGGGAGGCAGCAGUAGGGAAUCUUCGGCAAUGGACGGAAGUCUGACCGAGCAACGCCGCGUGAGUGAAGAAGGUUUUCGGAUCGUAAAGCUCUGUUGUAAGAGAAGAACGAGUGUGAGAGUGGAAAGUUCACACUGUGACGGUAUCUUACCAGAAAGGGACGGCUAACUACGUG
Molecule: ribosomal RNA, 495 nt
Filed under: uncultured bacterium
Lineage: Bacteria
Description: partial 16S ribosomal RNA
Rfam family: Bacterial small subunit ribosomal RNA
Source: RNAcentral